UUGUGUGUGUGUGUGUGUGUGUAGUGGAUGCAGUGUGAGUGUGUGUGUGUGUAGUAGAUGCACUGCAUUCACUACACACACACUCGCACUGUAUCCACUACACACACUCGCACUG
Non-coding RNA from Pelobates cultripes (western spadefoot toad), 115 nucleotides. NCBI's taxonomy places the organism in Eukaryota, Metazoa, Chordata, Amphibia, Anura, Pelobatidae. The record is from the annotation of a GenBank genome assembly.